AAAUGAUUGCUUUUAUAUUACCAGAUUAUUUGUUUUGCUUAGCGGCAACAGUCCUCUGUACGGUUGAAACACCAUCCACAAAUUUAGUUCGGAAAAGAACAUUUGCAUUGUUGAACAUGCCUUCUUUCAGCGAAACCACAAUAAACUGGGAAUGUGGAAAGUGAGCUUUGAUCAUUCUCCCUAUGUUCUGCGUAUGGCUUAAAUCAAGAGCAGCAUCAACCUCAUCCAGGAUAUAAAGUGGAGCUGGCUUGAAGAGAAGCAAUGCCAAGAUUAGAGAAAGGGCAAGCAGAGACCGUUGACCUCCACUUAGUUCUGACAAGGAUUGUUUCCAAACACCUCCAAAUGCAACACGAACCUC
This 358-nucleotide unclassified non-coding RNA is filed under the name Hevea brasiliensis (rubber tree). Lineage: Eukaryota; Viridiplantae; Streptophyta; Magnoliopsida; Malpighiales; Euphorbiaceae. The record is from RNAcentral.